RNAcentral lists this ribosomal RNA (324 nucleotides) under uncultured eukaryote. RNAcentral's name for it is "partial 18S ribosomal RNA". It matches the Rfam family "Eukaryotic small subunit ribosomal RNA", at positions 1470 to 1796 of the family's 1831-position model. The record is from RNAcentral.
CCCUUAGAUGUUCUGGGCCGCACGCGCGCUACACUGAUGCAUUCAACGAGUUUCUUCCUGGUCCGAGAGGAAUGGGUAACCUUUUGAAAGUGCAUCGUGAUAGGGAUAGACUAUUGCAAUUAUUGGGCUUCAACGAGGAAUUCCUAGUAGACGUAGUUCAUCAGACUGCAUCGAUUACGUCCCUGCCCUUUGUACACACCGCCCGUCGCUCCUACCGAUUGAAUGCUCAGGUGAGCCAUUCGGACUUUCAUCAUGCUGGUUUCCAGUUUUGAUGAAGGAAAGUCUUGCGAACCUUAUCAUUUAGAGGAAGGAGAAGUCGUAACA